This 941-nucleotide ribosomal RNA is filed under the name Pandoraea sp. RNAcentral describes it as "bacterial SSU rRNA". It matches the Rfam family "Bacterial small subunit ribosomal RNA", at positions 481 to 1428 of the family's 1533-position model. Lineage: Bacteria; Pseudomonadati; Pseudomonadota; Betaproteobacteria; Burkholderiales; Burkholderiaceae. The record is from RNAcentral.
GAAGAAUAAGCACUGUNAACUGGGUCCCAGCAGCUNAGGUAAUAGGUAGGGUGCAAGCGUUANUGGAAUUAAUGNGCGUAAUGCGUNCGCAGUCGGUUUUGUAAGACANUUCGUAAAAUNUCUGNUCUUACCCUGGUAAUUGCAUUGGUGUCUGCAAGGCUAGAGAAUGACAGAGGUGAGUAGAUUUCCCCGUGUAGCAGAGANAUGAGUAGAGAUGUGGAGGAAUACCGAUGGAGAUGGCAGCCCCUGGNCCCAAUACUGUCGUUCAUGCACGACAGUGUGGGGAGCAAACAGGAUUAGAUCCCUUGGUAUUCCUCGCCUUAAACGAUGUCACCUAGUUGUUGGGGAUUCUUUUCCUUAGUAAGGUAGUUAACGCGUGAAGUUGCCCGCCUGGGGAGUACGGUCGCAAGAUUAAAACUUAAAGGAAUUGACGGGGACCCGCACAAGCGGUGGAUGAUGUGGAUUAAUUCGAUGCAACGCGAAAACCCUUACUUCCCCUUGACAUGUACGGAAUCCUGAUGAGAGGUGGGAGUGCUCGAAAGAGACCCGUACCCCAGGUGCUGCAUGCCGGUGGUCAGCUCGUGUCGUGAGAUGUUGGGUUAAGUCCCGCAAUGAGCGCACCCCUUGUCUUUAGUUGUUACGCAAGAGCCCUCUAAGGAGACUUCCGGUGACAACCCGGAGGAAGGUGGGGAUGCCGUCAAGUCCUCAUGGCCCUUAUGGGUAGGGUUUCACACGUCAUACAAUGGUCGGUACAGAGGGCUGCCAACCCGCGAGGUGGAGCUAUCCCCAGAAAACCGAUCGUAGUCCGGAUCGCAGUCUGCAACUCGACUGCGUGAAGCUGGAAUCGCUAGUAAUCGCGGAUCAGCAUGUCGCGGUGAAUACGUUCCCGGGUCUUGUACACACCGCCCGUCACCCCAUGGGAGUGGGUUCUGCCAGAACGU